AAAUAUGCAUGGCUUGCAUUGCAUUCAUUCACAUUUCAUUGCAUCUGCAUCUCACCAUAACGCAUGUCAUUUUCCAGACAAAAAAAAAACUCAUCCAUCCUUUGUCCGUGAUCAGCAAAGUGAUUCUCAACACGCAUUUAGAACAAAGAACCAUGUCUCAGGAGAUGAUGGACGAGCUAAGAAAUAGCCAAGAAGCACUGAAGGGGGAACUUAAUCUUUUGAAGAGCCAAAUGAGAUGGGUCUUGGAAACCCUGCAAGUCUUGUUGGGAAAAGAGGGUCACCCAAUAUACACCGCUGCAACAAAGAGAGUUAUUAC
This 316-nucleotide long non-coding RNA is filed under the name Lathyrus oleraceus (garden pea). Its description in RNAcentral is "Pisum sativum (pea) long non-coding RNA (PSAT_LNC039665)". The record is from RNAcentral. Lineage: Eukaryota; Viridiplantae; Streptophyta; Magnoliopsida; Fabales; Fabaceae.